Molecule: transfer RNA, 62 nt
Filed under: Cavia porcellus (domestic guinea pig)
Lineage: Eukaryota; Metazoa; Chordata; Mammalia; Rodentia; Caviidae
Rfam family: tRNA
About the family: Transfer RNA (tRNA) molecules are approximately 80 nucleotides in length. Their secondary structure includes four short double-helical elements and three loops (D, anti-codon, and T loops). Further hydrogen bonds mediate the characteristic L-shaped molecular structure. tRNAs have two regions of fundamental functional importance: the anti-codon, which is responsible for specific mRNA codon recognition, and the 3' end, to which the tRNAs corresponding amino acid is attached (by aminoacyl-tRNA synthetases). tRNAs cope with the degeneracy of the genetic code in two manners: having more than one tRNA (with a specific anti-codon) for a particular amino acid; and 'wobble' base-pairing, i.e. permitting non-standard base-pairing at the 3rd anti-codon position.
Source: Rfam by way of RNAcentral
GGGGAUUUAGCUCAGCGGUAAGCGCCUGCCUUGCAAGCAGGCAGUCAUGAGUUCAAUCCCUG